GACGUAGGGCGCGAGCGUUGUCCGGAUUUAUUGGGCGUAAAGAGCUCGUAGGCGGCUUGUCGCGUCGACCGUGAAAACUUGGGGCUCAACCCCAAGCCUGCGGUCGAUACGGGCAGGCUAGAGUUCGGUAGGGGAGACUGGAAUUCCUGGUGUAGCGGUGAAAUGCGCAGAUAUCAGGAGGAACACCGAUGGCGAAGGCAGGUCUCUGGGCCGAUACUGACGCUGAGGAGCGAAAGCGUGGGGAGCGAACAGG
Molecule: ribosomal RNA, 253 nt
Filed under: uncultured bacterium
Lineage: Bacteria
Description: partial 16S ribosomal RNA
Rfam family: Bacterial small subunit ribosomal RNA
Source: RNAcentral